GCGGUUAAAGAGGAGCCCAUGAGAUAUCAGCUAGUUGGUGUGGUAAAGGCGCACCAAGGCUAAGACGUCUAGGCGGAUUGAGAGAUUGACCGCCAACACUGGGACUGAGAACUGCCCAGACUCCUACGGGAGGCUGCAGUCGAGAAUCAUUCGCAAUGGGCGAAAGCCUGACGAUGCGACGCCGUGUGAGCGAAGAAGGCCUUAGGGUUGUAAAGCUCUUUCGCUUGGGAAUAAGAAAAGCCGGCUAAUAUCCGGCUAAUUUGAACGUACCAGGUAAAGAAGCACCGGCUAACUCCGUGCCAGCAGCUGCGGUAAUACGGAGGGUGCAAGCAUUAAUCGGAUUUAUUGGGCGUAAAGGGCGCGUAGGCGGAGACAUAAGUCAGAUGUGAAAUCCUGGAGCUUAACUUCAGAACUGCAUUUGAAACUGUGUCCCUAGAGGGUAGGCGGAGAAAACGGAAUUCCACAAGUAGCGGUGAAAUGCGUAGAUAUGUGGAAGAACACCGGUGGCG
Molecule: ribosomal RNA, 509 nt
Filed under: uncultured bacterium
Lineage: Bacteria
Description: bacterial SSU rRNA
Rfam family: Bacterial small subunit ribosomal RNA
Source: RNAcentral